AGUAAAAGUCGUAACAAGGUCUCCGUUGGUGAACCAGCGGAGGGAUCAUUACAAGAGCGUUAGCAAUAGCGCAUAACCCUUUGUGAACAUACCUUUUGUCAGUUGCUUCGGCGGGAGGCCCCUGGGAGGGGCCCCGGGGCCCGGCCGCGCCGGGCUCCCGCCGGAGGGACGCCCCACCAAACUCUUGCUGUACCUCAGUGGCACAUCCGAGUCAAAACAAAAAAACAAAUCAAAACUUUCAACAACGGAUCUCUUGGUUCUGGCAUCGAUGAAGAACGCAGCGAAAUGCGAUAAGUAAUGUGAAUUGCAGAAUUCAGUGAAUCAUCGAAUCUUUGAACGCACAUUGCGCCCGCGAGCAUUCUCGCGGGCAUGCCUGUUCGAGCGUCAUUUCAACCCCUCAGGCCCUGGUGCCUGGCGUCGGGACCCGCCCCCCCCGGGGCGGUCCUCAGAAACAGUGGCGGACCCGCCGCGGCUCCGAGCGCAGUAGGAACAUUCUCGCUUAGGAGGUCUGCGGAGGCGUCCCGGCCGUAAAACCCGCGCCCCGGCGCACAUCUAAGGUUGACCUCGGAUCAGGUAGGAAUACCCGCUGAACUUAAGCAUAUCAAUAAGCGGAGGA
This 616-nucleotide ribosomal RNA is filed under the name uncultured fungus. Its description in RNAcentral is "eukaryotic LSU rRNA". The stretch from base 234 to 387 matches the Rfam family "5.8S ribosomal RNA". The record is from RNAcentral. Lineage: Eukaryota; Fungi.